AGAAUUAAGUCAGAGUGAGGGUGAGGGGGAGAAGAGAAGAGUGUCGUCAACACGGUCUUUAUAUAAGUAGCAAAAAUAAACUUAUAACAAAAUAAACUUACUUUUUACAAAACUUGAAACAUUUUAUAGAAUUUCUGAGAAAUAUAAAGAAAUAAGUGGAAGAGGAAUGAUUUAUAGAGGAAGUGUGAAGAUAGAGAAAAUAUAGAGAGAGUAGUUAUAUCCAGAUGUGUGCCUUCACAAGGGGAG
Molecule: long non-coding RNA, 246 nt
Filed under: Manihot esculenta (cassava)
Lineage: Eukaryota; Viridiplantae; Streptophyta; Magnoliopsida; Malpighiales; Euphorbiaceae
Description: long non-coding RNA (MESC_LNC011961)
Source: RNAcentral